Molecule: unclassified non-coding RNA, 346 nt
Filed under: soil metagenome
Description: partial contains 5.8S ribosomal RNA, internal transcribed spacer 2, and large subunit ribosomal RNA
Rfam family: 5.8S ribosomal RNA (bases 1-120)
Source: RNAcentral
GAUGAAGAACGCAGUGAAAUGCGAUAAUUAAUGUGAAUUGCAGAAUUCAGUGAAUCAUCGAGUCUUUGAACGCACAUUGCGCCCCCUGGUAUUCCGGGGGGCAUGCCUGUCCGAGCGUCAUUGCUGCCCUCAAGCACGGCUUGUGUGUUGGGCUUCCGUCCCUGGCAACGGGGACGGGCCCAAAAGGCAGUGGCGGCACCAUGUCUGGUCCUCGAGCGUAUGGGGCUUUGUCACCCGCUCCCGUAGGUCCAGCUGGCAGCUAGCCUCGCAACCAAUCUUUUUAACCAGGUUGACCUCGGAUCAGGUAGGGAUACCCGCUGAACUUAAGCAUAUCAAUAAGCGGAGA